RNAcentral lists this ribosomal RNA (164 nucleotides) under uncultured bacterium. RNAcentral's name for it is "partial 16S ribosomal RNA". It matches the Rfam family "Bacterial small subunit ribosomal RNA", at positions 355 to 511 of the family's 1533-position model. The record is from RNAcentral.
UAGGGAAUCUUCCACAAUAGGCGAAAGCCUGAUGGAGCAACGCCGCGUGUGUGAUGAAGGGUUUCGGCUCGUAAAACACUGUUGUAAGAGAAGAAUGACAUUGAGAGUAACUGUUCAAUGUGUGACGGUAUCUUACCAGAAAGGAACGGCUAAAUACGCGCCAG